This 84-nucleotide transfer RNA is filed under the name Paenibacillus sp. VCA1. Its description in RNAcentral is "tRNA-Leu". It matches the Rfam family "tRNA". From Rfam's summary of the family: Transfer RNA (tRNA) molecules are approximately 80 nucleotides in length. The record is from RNAcentral. Lineage: Bacteria; Bacillati; Bacillota; Bacilli; Caryophanales; Paenibacillaceae.
ACCGGUGUAGCUCAACGGUAGAGCACGAAGGUGGCCGCAAAAGCAGCCUUCGGGUGGUACCAGGUUCAAUUCCUGGCGCCGGUG